GACGUAGGGCGCGAGCGUUGUCCGGAUUUAUUGGGCGUAAAGAGCUCGUAGGCGGCUUGUCGCGUCGUCCGUGAAAACCUGUGGCUCAACUGCAGGCUUGCGGUCGAUACGGGCAGGCUAGAGUUCGGUAGGGGAGACUGGAAUUCCUGGUGUAGCGGUGAAAUGCGCAGAUAUCAGGAGGAACACCGGUGGCGAAGGCGGGUCUCUGGGCCGAUACUGACGCUGAGGAGCGAAAGCGUGGGGAGCGAACAGG
Molecule: ribosomal RNA, 253 nt
Filed under: uncultured bacterium
Lineage: Bacteria
Description: partial 16S ribosomal RNA
Rfam family: Bacterial small subunit ribosomal RNA
Source: RNAcentral